UCAUGUUGCCUAGCAUCUGUCAUGUGACUGUCGCCGGCCAAUCCUUCGGCACUUCGUACGCCGGCUUUCCGUCAGAGCUGUGCUACGGCUCCCAGUUCGGUCGUGUCAGACAAUGGGAACGAGUGGAGAGACCCUCUCCUCUUGUUUGUGCAGAUAAAUGUCACCAGGUUGAAGGUGUGAGCAUUUCUCGAUUGACAACAGGCAAGACAACGGGGAAAAGGCUUGGAAAGAAUUGUGCUGUGAAAAUAUACAGAAAGCGCUCCAAGGUGGAGGCUUGCAUCUUUCCAACGGAAUCCGGAGUAGUUGCUGCAUGCCUGAACUUUGGUUUGUUUCUGUCUUCAAAAGGGCAUCAUCAGAAGACAUCUGAACAGCAGCAGCACUAAUUUACAUCACACAGCAGUACUUAAAACAAGGACUUUGACUCAGCAACUACAGCCAGCCAAUCACACAAGCCGAAAUCAGACCAGGACUCAGAAAGAUAUUUAAAGGCCAGUGCUCGCCCAGAUAAGCACAAUCCAAAGUGCACUGAAGAUGUCUCCUCGAGUGGAGAUGAAAUGUUUGCAACCAAAUCACCAAGCUCAUGGGUCAAAUCAACAACCAACAUAACUACCAACCUUAGCUAUUAAUAUACAAAGACAUUUCAGAUUAUUUGUUUAGAAAAUUUGUAUGGCGUUCUUUGAUGCCAAGAAUAUUUUAUAUUCAGAAUAUUUUCAGAAAAUGUAAUUACCAAUAAAUGAGGAAGAUUUGGUUUUCCAAAUCUAGAGCUAUACUAUCAUGCUUACCAAUUGCCAAGUAUUAAAUACUGGAAGCCAACAAUUGUUAUUAAAUUUGUCAUUUAGGCAACUUUGGAAUAUACAUAUAUAGCACCUCCAGUUGGAUAAACAGUAAUGGUGAUGUCAGCGUAACGAGAAGAAGGUUAGGAAAAGAGCUCCCGAUCUGAUCUUCUUUUCCUUGAUUCAGACAGCUUUUUUUUCUGCCAAAACCACCCCCGGAGGGAGCGGGGAGAGUGAGGAGUGCAGGGCGCGUGUGGAUGUGAUCCGGCGUGCUGAAGGCUUGAUCCUCUUUCGGUCUCUGAAGUCAAGGAGAGGGCACUGAGGAAUGGCAGCCCCGAAGGAAUGACUCACCGUGUUGGAUAGGAAGCCGAUUGCAGAGAGCUGGAGAACUUGGAUUAUUGGAUUUGUUGUGGAUCAAUGCUGAACUUGGAGGUGAGGAGUGUGGAGAGAGAGAGUGCGAAGCUCUAAUUGCCAGGACAAGCUGUGAGGCGAAAUAGCCUCACUUGAUCAGCGGCUGAGAGAGAGUAACCCGGACAGUGAAAAAAUCUGCCUACUUAAUAGGGGAAGAUCUGGUAGUGAGCCAGGAUCUCAUUUGUGCAAGAAUGGAAAUCCAAAAAUAUUCCAUCGGAGGCUACGUUAAACUCAAAGAUCAUGGACUGUGCAGAAGCAGACAAGCUUACCGGACUUUUGCGAGAUAGACAAGAAUCAAGGUUAUAUAGGAGUUGGACAGGUGAUAUGCUUGUCUGCAAAAAAAGAAAUCUUAAGAAGAAUGUAAAAUAUUAAUCUUAGUGUGAAUGUGGGUAAAUAUUUAUAGGAGCAUUGCAUGGCAGUUGAGAAUUCUUUCUUCUGGAUAAUCUUUUCUUUUUUUGAUGAUUUGGUUUAAUGGAGGUUUGUACUAUCUCUAGGCGAAAAUUGAUGCUUUUAAAACUCUAUAUGUAUUAUAUUACUCUCUGCAAUUCUAUCCAUAUUGCUAUAUUUUUUUCUGUAAUUUUUAAUAAUUUUCAAUAAAAAUUUUUUUUAAAAAAGAGGUAGGUAAAAUGAGGACCCGGAUUGGGGGGGCAAUAAACUGACUUUGUAUAAAAAAGAACACCGCUUAGGGGAGGCCGAAAGCCCUACUAAGCAGGUAUAUAUAAAAGUAUGAAGGCUGUUGCUUAAUGCAUUGUAAGCCGCCCUGAAUCUCCGGAGAAGGGCGGCUUAUAAAUCGAACCAGUUAUAACAUUUGUUAACAACGUUGUUUGAACCAGCAGCAUUUUCAGCUUCUUAAACACCUGACAUACUACAAUAGGGGUAUCAAACUCAAUUUCAUUGAGGGCCACAUCAGGGUUGUGUUUGACCUCGAGGGGCCGGGGUGGGUGAGGCCAGGGUAAGCAUGGCCAAAUUGGCCACUCAUGGGCACCUGUGGCCAGAGCGCUCUGCCAGUGAAAAUCGGCUCCUGAGCUCCGUUUUCAGCUGCAACAGCCUCCUGCAACCCUCUGCGAGCAAAAACGGAGCUUGGCAGAGCUGCAGGCAGCCCUCCUGAGCUCCAUUUUUGCUGGCAGAGGCACCGCGGACUGGACCUUCACUAUUUCCAGAGUGGCCCCACAGACCAGAUCUAAGCACCCUGCGGGUCUUGAGUGACACCCCUGUGCUACAACAACUGGUAAACUAUUUAAAACUAAAAACCUACUAUUAUAUUCUAUAUAUAUUUACUACUAAUAAAUCAAUGCUAAGAAAUUAAUGGAAUAAAGAGUUAGAAAUCCAAAAAUGGUUAGAUAAUGGGGAGAGUGUCUUAACCUCUAUAGCAAGUGGGUCAAUGGACCAAUUUAUACAGCAGAAAAUAAUACUGAAAGUAUACUGGACUAAAUUACAUUUGUACAAAAAGGGAUUGUCUAGGACAGCAUUUUGCUGGAGAUUUAAUAAUAAUCAUCAAUUAUUUUAACAGAUUAACAGAGUUGGAAGGGACCUUGUAGGUCUUCUAGUCCAACCCUCCGCAGAAACAGGAGACUACACCAUUUCUGACAAAUGGCAGUCCAAUCUCUUCUUGAAAGCUUCCAGUGAUGAAGCUCCCACAACUUCUGAAGGCAAGCUGUUCCAUAGGUUGAUUGUUCUCACUGUCAGAAAAUUUCUCCUUAUUUCUAGGUUGAAUCUCUCAUUGAUCAGUUUCCAUCCAUUAUUCCUUGUCUGGCCUUCAGGUGCUUUGGGAAAUGGCUUGACCCCUCCUCUUUGUGGCAGCCCCCCAAAUAUAGGAACACUGCUAUCAUGUCUACCCUUGUCCUUUUCUUCACAUAUGUUUUAGCUUCCAUCUGGAUCUUGAGCCUAUCAUCUAGGGCAGGGGUCCUCAAACUUUUUAAAUGGGGCCAAUUCAUGGUCCCGCAAACUGUUGGGGGGCCGGAUCAGCUGGGCGGCCAUGGCUAGGUGGUCAUGUGACUAGGUGGGCAUGGCUAGGUCAUGUGACUGGGUGGACGUGGCCAAUUUAACAGUCCAUUGAACAAUGCACACAAAUUAAACUUAAAUUUGCUUUGCUCCUGGGGGUGUUUUAUUUGCUUUUGUUUGCAUGUUGCUCUUUUGGUUGCCUUUUCUUUUUACUAGUUCAUUUUUUCAGUUGUUUAGGAGUCUAGUGGUCCACUUCAGGAAACUCAGUUUUGCUGCAAUUCUUCUCAGCCCCAAGGAACUUGAGAAAUCUCUCUGUCUCUUGCCUUCUCUCUCUCCCUCUCUUUUUCUUUUUUUUUCUCUCUCUCCUUCUCUCUCCCUCUCCCUCUUUUCAGGAAACUCAGUUUUGCUGCAAUUCUUCUUAGCACCAAGGAACUUGAGAAAUCUCUCUCUUGCCUUCUCUCUCUCCCUCUCUUUUUCUUUUUUCUUUCUCUCUCUCUCCUUCUCUCUCCCUCUCCCUCUUUUCUCUCUGUCUGUCUCUCUCCCUCCCUCUCCCUCUCUCUGUCUGUCUCUCCCCCUCUCUCUCCCUCUCUCUCCCUCUCCCCUCUUUCUCUCUUUCAUUGUUCCUCUUUCUCUCCCUCUCUCUCCCUCUCUCUUUCUGUCUCUCUGUCUGUCUGUCUUUCGUCUCUCUCCCUCUCUCUCUCUCCCUCUCUCUCUCCUUCUCUUUUCCUCUCUCUUUCUCUCUCUCUCCCCCUUUCACUCUUUCUUUUUCUUUCUCUUUCUUUCUCUCUCUCUCUCCCUCUCUUUCCUUUUCUCCCUCCCUCCCUCUCUCUUUCUCUCUCUCCCUCUCUCUUUCUGUCUCUCUCUCUCUAUCUUGUGGAGGUGGUGAAGGUGAAAAAUGGGCCAUUUUUGCCUGGUUUUUUGCCUCCUUUCAUUCCCCCACCCCCCUCCACAAGCAUUCUGCAGGCUAAAAUCAGGCAAAAAUGGCUCAUUUUUUGGCUAACAAUGGGCCGUUUUUACCUGUUUUUUUGCCUCUUCUAACCUCCCCACCUCCACAAGCAUUCUGUAAGCUAAAAGCAUGUCAGGGCAUUGAUUAAUCCCAUGUUUGGCUCUGGGACAAUCACCCUGAUUUAAUUAGAGGAUGGGUCGUGGCUUAUCCAAGUUGCAAUAUUCUGAAAUAAAACCCGAAGAAAUAUUUUCUAAUAAAACUCAUUUAUUUGUUAUAAAGAAAAUAAAACAUCUCACUAACUAAGAAAAAUAAUUGUUACAUUUUGAAAUAGUUCGGGCCAGCUGCUUUCCAGCAGCCGGACCUUUCUGGCAAGAGAAAAAAGGGAAGUGUGUGAAGGAAUGUGGGUGGAUACGGAAAUACGUAGCUUACUGAUAAGAAGUUGGCAAGCUACGGAGAGUCUGACAGUCCAGAAAUAAUUAGCUCAGCUGGUAAAUAAAAGAAUGCAGUGACAUUCCCCUUCUUUUGCCAGUUGAGCGAAUAUCAGUACAUCAUCAAAUAAGGCACAUUUUCUUACGCAGAUACUCAUGUUGAGCUGCUGAGAGUGGUUUGUUGAGCAUAUCAGCAAUUUGAUCAUGUGUAGAUACAUAUUGCAUUUUAACAAAACCUUUUUUCACUAAAUGUUUUAUGUUUUGAUAACGGAUGUCAAUGUGUCUGGACCUAGAACCUGUAAAAUGAGAUUCAGAAAUAUAAACCACUGAUUCAUUGUCUUCCAUCACGGUGAUUGGUCGGAUCGGGUGUGUCCAGAUAUCUGUGACUAAAGCAUCAAACCAAGUUAGAGAAUUACAUGCAUCUGAAACACAAGCAUAUUCAGCUUCAGUAGAUGAACAAGAAACAAAAUUCUGUUUACGUACUUGCCAAUAAACAGGACAUCUAUUUAAGAACAUCAUAUAACCUGAAGUACUUUUACGUGAUUUCUUAUCACUUGCCCAAUCAGAAUCUGCAUAACAACAUAAUUCUGCAUAAUCAGUAUGUGUUGGUUCUAACAAUAACUUCAUGUGUUUAGUGUAUUUUAGGUAUCUCAAUAAUUUCUUAAUACAUGUCCAAUGAAACUGUUUUGCCUUACCUACGUGUCGUGAUAAGAAAUUAACACUAAGUGCAAUGUCGGGUCUGAUCCAACUACUAAUGUACAACAGUGACCCAAUGACUGAACGAUAAAGUGUUUGAUCCUCGAACUCAG
Molecule: non-coding RNA, 5308 nt
Organism: Pantherophis guttatus
Lineage: Eukaryota; Metazoa; Chordata; Lepidosauria; Squamata; Colubridae
Source: RefSeq, a predicted model, not a curated record